This 32-nucleotide non-coding RNA is filed under the name Homo sapiens (human). The record is from RNAcentral. Lineage: Eukaryota; Metazoa; Chordata; Mammalia; Primates; Hominidae.
UGGACUGAUGGAAAAAGGAACCACGAGGAGCC